GUUACCGGCUCCUGCCGCCCCGCCCUUCAGGCCUAAGGAGGAGGGGGAAGAACGAGCGGCGGCGGCGGCGAUGAUUGGGAGAAGUUAACGUUUGGGGGCGGGGCCGCAGCCGCAGCCUUUUGCGCGCUAUGGGCAGGCUCCGACUAUGCCUGAGAAGAAAUGGAGAACUUGGCCCCAUACUAGCAAGAUUCCAUUUGUCCACUGAUUACUUUUGGAACAGAAAAGGUGCAGUGGACACAGCGUGCAGGUGCAAAGCCCAGGGCCAUCUACUCUCCGGCUGAUUUAGAGCCUUCGAGGAGGACUACUGGAGAGGCCCAACAACUGUUGGACUUCGUCCCAGGCGGGGAGACCCUAUGGGAAGAUGGACACCAGGAAAGCAGGACCCUCCACAGCAAAGAAAGUUUGAGUGUUCCUUGCAUCAUUGUUCAAGCCUGUGUAAUAGCAGCAGCAUAUAGAACAUCAGAAGUGGAAGUGUAAGGUGCAUCAGCAUAAACAACUGUCCUGAGACAACUGUAAGAAAUUGUAAGAAAACUAGUUUCUGUCCAAUCUGUCUCAUCAACUCCAAAUGAGCUGCCACUGUGUUAGUAAUAAGGUAUACAGGGUUUUAUUCUGCUCUUACUUAUCCCAUUAUAAAUCAGAAAUAGUUCCAUUAGAGUCAUGUAUGUGAGGUCUGAACCAAGCACCUAGUAAAACUUACAUUGAUGUAUUGUGUACAAUUCACAUUGAUUUUAUGUAUUGUUACCUAUAUACUGAAAUAUAUAGUCAAAAGAAGAA
Molecule: long non-coding RNA, 774 nt
Organism: Mauremys reevesii (Reeves's turtle)
Lineage: Eukaryota; Metazoa; Chordata; Testudines; Geoemydidae
Exons: 4
Source: RefSeq, a predicted model, not a curated record